Clarias gariepinus (North African catfish) is the source of this 369-nucleotide non-coding RNA. Lineage: Eukaryota; Metazoa; Chordata; Actinopteri; Siluriformes; Clariidae. The record is from the annotation of a RefSeq genome assembly.
AUGACUUUGAUCAGCGUCUUCAUCUGCACACUGGCCCUCUGGACUCAAGGAUCCAGAGGUCAGGUGACUGUGACUCAGACUCCUUCAGUGCAAACUGUUGCUCCAGGAAACACCGUCACCAUCAACUGUAGAACCAGCAGCUCUACUAGCUCCCUCCACUGGUACCUGCAGAAAUCUGGAGAAGCUCCUAAACUCCUGAUCUACAAUAUUAAUAGCUUACAGUCAGGGACUCCAGCUCGUUUCAGUGGCAGUGGAUCUGGUACUGACUUCACUCUGACCAUCAGAGGAGUCCAGACUGAAGAUGCAGGAGAUUACUACUGUCAGAGUUUCCAUGUGAUCAGUAGUAGCUGGGUGUUCACACAGUGUUAG